This 612-nucleotide unclassified non-coding RNA is filed under the name Bombus terrestris (buff-tailed bumblebee). RNAcentral describes it as "misc RNA ENSBTSG00005032863.1". Lineage: Eukaryota; Metazoa; Arthropoda; Insecta; Hymenoptera; Apidae. The record is from RNAcentral.
UGUCGUAACUGAAAGUUAUUUCGGUAAUUGGAACGUUUAGGCGUUACACAUGUGCACAAUCCUAACCUAGAUUUUAUACUGUCUUGUCCGCUGCUGAGGUGAUUCGCAUCCGUAUGAAAUGUGUUUCGAAAGCGGCGCUGAAGACGAAGAAAACAUAACCUUGCAACGGGAAUUCGCUGAAUGGCUACCGUUCAUUGCGAUCUUAACCUAUUUCGCGACCGAACAAUUCUCGAUCUAAGUGAAUUUCAAUGAGUUGCCUUUGCUACGCAUUUUGCAACGGUCUAUCUACGAAUCAGAUUGUAAAACAAGCCGGUUUCUACGUACGCAGCUCUACGAUUGGGAUUGUGAUUUCAACGUGAUUACCGCUGUAGCCAACGAUCGGUCAAGAGGUCUUCGUGAAAUCAAGAUCCUGAGUGUAGUGAAAAUUGGUGUCAGCCUUGAAUCACAAGAAUUGAAAUUAUGUAAUUUCCCACCACGCGAGAAACUGGCAUAAAAUGUGCUAGUUCGACAGCUUGACCACGUUGCGUAAUUUGAACUCGACUAUUAAGACAUUCAUUCACUGUGUAUGAAGAACACCGACUAAGAAAUUUUAGAUUUCAGUUUUACGUGGGU